GAUGAACGCUGGCGGCGUGCCUAAUACAUGCAAGUCGAGCGAACGGACGAGAAGCUUGCUUCUCUGAUGUUAGCGGCGGACGGGUGAGUAACACGUGGAUAACCUACCUAUAAGACUGGGAUAACUUCGGGAAACCGGAGCUAAUACCGGAUAAUAUUUUGAACCGCAUGGUUCAAAAGUGAAAGACGGUCUUGCUGGCACUUAUAGAUGGAUCCGCGCUGCAUUAGCUAGUUGGUAAGGUAACGGCUUACCAAGGCAACGAUGCAUAGCCGACCUGAGAGGGUGAUCGGCCACACUGGAGCUUGGACGCGGUCCAGACUCCUACGAGAGGCAGCAGUAGGGAAUCGUCCGCAGUAGGCGAAAGCCUGACGGAGCAACGCCGCGUGAGUGAUGAAGGUCUUCGGAUCGUAAAACUCUGUUAUUAGGGAAGAACAUAUGUGUAAGUAACUGUGCACAUCUUGACGGUACCUAAUCAGAAAGCCACGGCUAACUACGUG
RNAcentral lists this ribosomal RNA (497 nucleotides) under uncultured bacterium. RNAcentral's name for it is "partial 16S ribosomal RNA". It matches the Rfam family "Bacterial small subunit ribosomal RNA", at positions 28 to 507 of the family's 1533-position model. The record is from RNAcentral.